CCUACGGGAGGCAGCAGUGGGGAAUAUUGCACAAUGGGGGAAACCCUGAUGCAGCGACGCCGCGUGAGUGAAGAAGUAUUUCGGUAUGUAAAGCUCUAUCAGCAGGGAGGAAAAUGACGGUACCUGAUUCAGAAGCCCCGGCUAACUACGUGCCAGCAGCCGCGGUAAUACGUAGGGGGCAAGCGUUAUCCGGAUUUACUGGGGGUAAAGGGAGCGGAGACGGCAGCACAAGGCGGGAGUGAAAUGCCGGGGCUUAACCCCGGAACUGCUUUGGAAACUGUGCAGCUAGAGUGCAGGAGAGGGAAGUGGAAUUCCUGGUGUAGCGGUGAAAUGCGUAGAGAUUAGGAGGAACACCAGUGGCGAAGGCGGCUUACUGGACUGUAACUGACGUUGAGGCUCGAAAGCGUGGGGAGCAAACAGGAUUAGAUACCCCAGUAGUC
Molecule: ribosomal RNA, 440 nt
Filed under: uncultured bacterium
Lineage: Bacteria
Description: partial 16S ribosomal RNA
Rfam family: Bacterial small subunit ribosomal RNA
Source: RNAcentral